Molecule: long non-coding RNA, 4395 nt
Organism: Bos taurus (domestic cattle)
Lineage: Eukaryota; Metazoa; Chordata; Mammalia; Artiodactyla; Bovidae
Source: Ensembl
AGAGAGUCCCUUGGACAGCAGGGAGAUGGAACCCAUCAAUCCUGAAGGAAAUCAACCCAUAGUAUCCAUCCAAUACUCUGGCCAUCUGGUGUGAAGAGCCGACUCAUUGGAAAAGACCCCGAUGCUGGAAAAGAUUGAAGGCAGGAGAAGGCAGCAGAGGGUGAGCUGGUUGGAAGGCAUCACCGACUCAAUGGACAUGAAUCUGAACGAACUCUAGAAGACAGUGAAGGAAGGGGAUUCCUGGUAUCCUGCAGUCCUGGGGUCACACACAGUAGGAAGUGACUGAGCAACUGAACAACAAUACCUUGGUCAAACUCGGGCCUGGGGGGAGGAAAAUCCUCCCACCGCUGAAAGCCCAUGCUCUCCCUGCAGGCAGGAAGGCUACUGGAGAAACCAGGUUAAAAUCAGAAGCUUCUGUUUCAGAAGCUUUGUUGUCCUCUAGACUGAGCACUGCCAGGCAGGACUGUGUGUGUUCACCUUUGACCCCGUGACUAGGGUUGCUGUGGCCAGGUAGCCGUCAGCCAUAGGAUGAAGUCAAAAGCUGAAGGUAUCUCAACCAAGAAAAUCAAAGAAGCAAACCCAGUGUCUGGACACCCUGACACCGGGUCUUAGUUGCGGCAUGUGAGAUCUAGUUCCCAGACCAGGGAUCGAACCUGGGCCCUCUGCCUCAGGAGCAGGAGUCUUAGCCAGUGGACCACCAGCGAAGUCCCCAUCCUGGCUCUUGAGCUGCCUGACUACAGACCACCUGUCUUGGGGAAUGACAGGUACCCUUACUGCUUCCACUAUUUUGAAUCAGGGUUUCUAAUCCUCGAGGCAGAAAGCUGGCCUAGGAAAGAUGGUUAUACUGUGAGUCCGUGGUGAGUAAACUCUCCUAAGAUCACUGAGUCACUCUAGUGCUGCAGGAAUGGGCGGAUCCGAUUGCCUGAUCUCAGGAGGGCUGGACCCCAAGCUGAAUCAUCACUGCAGUUAAUGGAUUUUGCUCUAAGAGUGGAGAGGAUCUUGGGUGAUUCCUGAGUUUAAACAAAAACAGUCUUCCACCUUCCCCGGUGGCUCAGUGGUAAAGAGUCCUCCUGCCAAUGCAGGCGGAGAAGGCAAUGGCACCCCACUCCAGUACUCUUGCCUGGGAAAUCCCAUGGACGGAGGAGCCUGGUGGGCUGCAGUCCAUGGGGUCACUAAGAGUCGGACACGACUGAGCGACUUCACUUUCACUUUUCACUUUCAUGCACUGGAGAAGGAAAUGGCAGCCCACUCCAGUGUUCUUGCCUGGAGAAUCCCAGGGACAGGGGAGCCUGGUGGGCUACUGUCUAUGGGGUCGCACAGAGUUGGACAUGACUGAAGCGACUUAACAGCAGCAGCAGCAACCAAUGCAGGAGACGGGUUCGAUCCCUGAUAUGAGAAGAUCCCACAAGUCAUGGAGCAGCUAAGCACCACAAAUACUGAGCCCGUGCCCUAGAGGCCCUGAGCCAAAUGGGCCCAUGGGCCCUAGAGCAACCACCACCAAGCCAUUUUCUGGCUUCUCAAGAGAAGCCACCUCAAUGAGAAGCCCGAGCACUGCAGCUAGAGAAAAAGCCUGCACAGCUAUAAAGACCCAGUACAGCCAAAAAUGCAUUACAUUGUUUUAAAGUCUUCAUUUUCAGAAGCAUGAUGUCCGUGUGAGUGCUAAGUCACUCAUGUCCAGCUCUCUGCGACCCCAUGGGGAACUGCUAUUAUGAUGUGGAGGAACCUGAAAUGUGUACAGAGGGUCCUGAGGAGGAAGUGUUGGUGCUUUCCGACUGGCUUUUGAGGUUUUCAUUUUGUGUGAGGAAAGGGGAACUCAGGACUGCAAUUUUCUGUCUAGCAGUGACAUUAAAAUGAUGUUCCCUGAGGCCUCCUGGCCCUUGCCCUGCCGAGGGCCUGGGUCCGGUCCCCGGUCAGGGAACGAAGAGCCCUAUAAGUUGUGUAGCUCGGCUGGUAAAAUAGAAUGAAAUGACAGGGCCAGCAGUGCUUGUGUGUGGGAUGUAUACUUCGGCAAAGGCAUUCUGACAAGAACUAAUACUGUUUCGCAUCAAAAGGAAUGUUAAGCUGCUUUAUACACUUCCUGUGCUGUCCAGUUAGAACAAGAAGCAAGAUCUCAUUCCCACACAGAUUUGCAUCAGAUGUAUUUUCUGAGCUGUAACUACAGUUCCAGCAGAAUUUUUCAGACCUUGAUGCCAAGCGCAAUGGAAACUUCCAUAUUUCAAAAUCUAAUUGGGCAAUUCAGGAGUUCCCAUCCAAACUUCAGUUGAAGAUGAUUAAUCUGCAGUGUAUUCAUAACAAGCUAAAAGGCAAAUUUUCAGAGAAGAAUCUCGGAGGAUUCUACACACACCGUCCCACAGUCUGGCUUCCCCGGUGCCUCCACACGGCAAAGGAUCUGCCUGCAGCGCAGGAGACCUGGGUUCAAUCCCUGGGUCAGGAAGAUCCCCUGGAGAAGGGAAUGGGUACUCACUCCAGUGUUCUGGCCUGGAGAACCCCAUGGCCAGAGGAGCCUGAUGGGCUGCAGUCCACGGGGUCUCGCGGAGCUGGAGCAGACUGAGCGACUCACUCUUUCGCUUUCAUCCCACAGUAAAUAUGCGCCGUUGAAAUCGUGCAGGGAGAAAAAUUUGGAAAUAUAUGUGAAGCAUGGGGGAGUAGUGGUGGAGAACUGCAGGGUGAGAGGGAGAGGAGGGUCUCCAAGGACGAGUCUAACCCAGGCAGUGGCCAAGCAGUGCUCGUGGAGGCCACGCCUGAGGACCAGCGGCCCGAUCAAGUUGGCGCGGUGAGCACACCUGCUGCGUCUCCUACACAGUCAGGCCCCUUCUACCUUAGUAUCUCUGCCAGCAAAGAAUCUAGGGCAGGGAGAAGGGACAGGCACUGUUCUUCCGGGUCCUCAGUAAGACAGCAACCUGGGAAGACCGUCUGGCCGUAGCCAUCACUUGCAGGGCUGGACCAGACGGGAGAAUCAGAAGUCAGUGGGGUGGGGUGGGGCUUCCCUGGUGACUCAGUGGGUAAAGAAUCUGCCUAUCAGUGAAGGAGACAUGGGUUUGAUCCCUGAUCUGGUAAGAUCCCACAAGCCAUGGAGCGGCUGGGCCCGAGCGGCACGACCAUCGUGCCCUGCACUCUGGAGCCCUUCCCUGCAACAGGAGGCACCGUGGAGAAGCCUGCACGCCACAACUAGAGAGGAGCCCCGCUUGCCACAACUGUAGAAAACCGUGCAGCCACGAAGACUCCGUACAGAAAAGUAAAACAAAUAAUUUAAAAAAAAAUUCUCUGGAAAAAAAAAUUAAAAAAAAAAAAUUCUCUGGUAGGGGGACUUCACUGGUGGUCCAGCGGCUAAGACUCUGUGCUUCCAGUGCAGGGGGUGCAGGUGUGACUCUCGGUCAGGGAACUAAGACCCUGCAUGCUGCCUGGCGAGGCCAAAAAAGAGUUGGCGGUGAGUCCUCAGUACAGAGGCAGCCUCAGGGACAGGAACCCUGGCAAGUUGCUCGAAAAGCCUUGUCAAUGCUUUGAGUCUAAACUGUAAUUAUCUUAGAAGAGGAGAGUAAGUACAAUGCUAUCUGGAAACCUGGGGAAGAGCAAGCUAGAGCAGAACCACAACCUUACGUGGCGGCCCCUUUUUAAAGCUUCUUGUCGUUUGUCCGUUCUUUUCCAUUUCAUUACCUCUUAGUAUCUAGGCUGUUUUCUGGGGGGAAAAAAUUAAGCUUGUUUCAGCUGUGCUAAGGAAAAAUAAGAAAUUACUUAAUUAUUUUUAUUGUAAAGAAAUCCAAACAUACACAAAAGUAGAAUAAUAUAAUUAAUAGCUCCCCCCGCCACACACAUACAAACACUUCACAUCUCCAGCUUCAACAAUUAUCAACAAGGCCAUUCUUGGGACUUCCCUGGCAGUCCAGCAGUUAAGACUCCACGCUUCCAUCCCUGGUCAGGGAAUUCAAAUCCCACAUGCCCCAGGCUGCAGCUGAAAAAAAAAAGACCAUGCUUGUUUCACCAUUAUCCAGUCCAGACAGUAUUCCCCACUGGAGUAUUUUGAAGCAACAGAAGAGGUAUUUUGAUUCAUCUUUAAGAGGAAUUUUUAAAGAUGCGAGCAUGGCACUUUUGCAGCAGAAUAGUGAUGGUAUCUGAAAUCCAAACUGGGGGACAGAUUCACCCUAUUCCAAGAUCGGCAUUCCUUUCCGGUGCUAGAAUCUACCUCGGAGGGCCUCAGUUUUCCUAUCAGCAAAGCAAGCAAAAUGGACUAACUUACAGGCAAUAAUUGUGUAACACUGAAAUGAGCCCUGGACUUCAAAAGACCUCCCUGAGUGCUUCUUGCAAAGUAUACAACUUAGGAUAACUUCUCUGAGAUAUAAUUUUGUAUCUUUGAGAUGCUCACUAAACAUUUUUUUUGUAUUUAAUUUUGUAUCUAUA